RNAcentral lists this ribosomal RNA (435 nucleotides) under uncultured Clostridium sp. RNAcentral describes it as "partial 16S ribosomal RNA". It matches the Rfam family "Bacterial small subunit ribosomal RNA", at positions 341 to 792 of the family's 1533-position model. The record is from RNAcentral. Lineage: Bacteria; Bacillati; Bacillota; Clostridia; Eubacteriales; Clostridiaceae. RNAcentral also lists the same sequence under 2 other names.
ACGGGAGGCAGCAGUGGGGAAUAUUGGACAAUGGGGGCAACCCUGAUCCAGCGACGCCGCGUGAGUGAAGAAGUAUUUCGGUAUGUAAAGCUCUAUCAGUAGGGAAGAAAAAUGACAGUACCUAACUAAGAAGCCCCGGCUAACUACGUGCCAGCAGCCGCGGUAAUACGUAGGGGGCAAGCGUUAUCCGGAUUUACUGGGUGUAAAGGGAGCGCAGGCGGCGAGGCAAGUCAGAUGUGAAAGCCCGGGGCUCAACCCCGGGACUGCAUUUGAAACUGUCUUGCUAGAGUGUCGGAGAGGUAAGUGGAAUUCCUAGUGUAGCGGUGAAAUGCGUAGAUAUUAGGAGGAACACCAGUGGCGAAGGCGGCUUACUGGACGAUUACUGACGCUGAGGCUCGAAAGCGUGGGGAGCAAACAGGAUUAGAUACCCUGGUA